AGUUAAUUUUGUUCUUUUAUUAUUAUUAUUAUUAUUUUCUUGUAUAGUGAGUUUGUUUGUGUAUCUUGUAUGCCUUUGUCCACAAUUUUUUCAAAUCCUCUUCAAAUUAAUUAAAAUUUACAUUUUAUUGCGUGUAGACUUGGUGAAAUUUGUGGAAGAAAUUGUGAGGCUCGAACAUGCUUCAUUUCCAAAUAAGCCAAUUUAUCUGGUGGGCGAUUCCUUUGGGAGAUGCCUAGCACUUGCUGUCGUAGCUUGUAAUCCAACCAUUAACCUGGUAGUAAUAUUAGCCAAUCCAGUUCAUUUGGCAGGUCACAGCUCCUACCUUUGUUCCCUCUCCUGGAGGCUAUGCCCAAUGAACUUCAUAUCACAAUGCCUUACCUUCUUAGCUUUGUUAUGGGUAUAUGCUCUGUUGCUUUAAAAUUUUUUAUUUGUAUUCCUAAUAUUUUUGUGACUUGAAUUUGAAGAAAUUCAAAUUUGUCUGCUGCUUGUAAUUGUGGCAUCCUUGUUAAAUUGCCUAUGUGGAUUUGAUAAAACAAUCGAGCACUGUGAUCAUAUGUGCCCAAACUGUCUACUUGACUGAUUUCUUUCACAUCAUCUAUUCAUAAUAGUCUUGCACUUUUGCUCAUCAACAUGACCAUUAAUGGUUCAUUGAAUAAAUUUUAAAGCAUGAGCUUCGUUCAGAUAUGUGGUUAUAUGCGUAAAUCAAUAACCAAUUAUAUCUAUGAGAACGUUACUGAUUUGCUCCAGUCAUGGAAAAAUCAGCAGUUGGCCUCAAGAAGAACAACUCUGGCCAAAUUUGACGGCAAGUUUUAGAAGGAUGAGCUCAAUGCGAAGCUGCCAAACCAAACCCAAGCUAUCUGAAAAUGUCUGGGAAGCACUUGUAGGUUGGGAUUUAGAGCUAAAAACACUUCAAACUUAACCGGAAAAGGACGCUAAGGGGGCGAAACUAUGAAACAGCCCCCAAACCACUAUGUGGCUGUCACGAACAGCUUCCCCAUCACAAAUAGGACCUGUGGACGAAAUGUAAUUUGCACUUGUAGGUUGGGAGUUAGAGCCAAAAACGCCUCAAACUUAACCGAAAAAGGGCAUCAAGGGGGGCGAAACUACAAAACAGCCCCCGAACCACUGUGUGGCUAUCACGAAUAGUUUCCCUAUCACCAAUAGGACCUGUGACAAUAGAAGAAAUAUAAUUUUCACUUCUAGGUUAGGAGCCAAAGGCCAAAACACUGCAAACUUAACUGAAAAAAGGCGUUAAGGGGGCAAAAGUACGAAACAGCCCCCGAACCACCAUGUGGCUGUCACAAACAGCUUCCCCAUCACAAAUUAGACCUGUGACAACAGAAGGAAUGUAAUUUGCAUUUGUAGGUUGGAAGUUAGAGCCAAAAACGCCUCAAACUUAACCGAAAAAGGGCAUUAAGAGAGCAAAACUAUGAAACUGCCCUUGAACCACCAUGUGGCAAACAGCUUCCCCAUCACAAAUAGGACCUGUGACAAUAGACGGAAUGUAAUUUGCACUUGUAGGUUGGGAGUUAGAGCCAAAAACGCCUCAAACUUAACCAAAAAAGGGGUUUAAAAGGGCGAAACUACGAAACAACCCCCAAAUCGGACCUGUGACAAGAGACAGAAUGUAAUUUUCAUUUGUAGGUUGGGAGUUAGAGCCAAAAAUGCCUCAAACUUAACCGAAAAAGGGCGUUAAGGGAGCGAAACUAUGAAACUGCCCCCGAACCACUAUGUGGCUGUCACAAAUAGCUUUCCUAUCACAAAUAGGACCUGUGACAAUAGACGAAAUGUAAUUUGCACUUGUAGGUUGGGAGUUAGAGCCCAAAACGCGUCAAACUUAACCGAAAAAAGGGCGUUAAGGGGGCGAAACUACGAAACAGCCUCCGAACCACCGUAUGGCUAUCACGAAUAGCUUCCCCAUCACAAAUCGAACCUAUGACAAUAGACAGAAUGCAAUUUGAAUUUGUAGGUUGGGAGUUAGAGUAAAAAACGCCUCAAACUUAACCGAAAAAGGGCGUUAAGUGAGCAAAACUAUGAAACUGCCCCCAAACCACUGUGUGGUUGUCACGAACAGUUUCUCCAUCACAAAUAGGACUUGUGACAAUAGACAGAAUGUAAUUUGAACUUGUAAGUUGGGAGUUAGAGCCAAAAACACCUCAGACUUAACUGAAAAAGGGUGUUAAGGAGGCAAAACUACAAAACAGCCACCGAACCACCGUGUUGCUGUCACGAACAACUUCUUCAUCACAAAUAAGACCUGUGACAAUAGACGGAAUGUAAUUUGCACUUGUAGGUUGGGAGUAAGAGCCAAAAACGCCUCAAACUUAAAAAGCUGUAUCGACAUCUAUAACAUAUAAAAACAAUAUAUCAAGUUUUGAGACUUCAUUUUUUCUUUAAAAAGUUGUAUUGACAUCUAUAUAUUUUCUACAUCAUUUGAUUUGGCUCCCAUUGAUUAAUGGAUAUGACUAGCAUUAUAUGCCCUGCUUUGGUACUUUCCCUUGUUCAUUUUCAGGAUCUUACAAAUAUGUCUUCAUCCAAUGCCCUCAAGUUCCCCAUUAUUAAGUGUAAAAUUUUAAAAAUUUUAAACUUCUCUAGUUGAAAUAGUGACCUGCUAAAUAUAGAUGUUAACCAUCACACUAUAUUUGCAAAAGGAAUCACAAGACAAAAUAAAGCUUUGUUAACAUCAUCAAGACGGCUCCUUUAGUACCAUUUUCAUGGGGAUAGGUAGAAUUUGGGAAACUGAUUAGUUGCAACAUUAAAUUAUUUUUCCAUUAGAGCAACUAUACUAUUUUCAUUCUCAGAGUUUGUAUAAUGAUAUUUUUCUCUCUAUCCAAGCAAAGAGGAGUUGUGUCAAGUUGGAUAUUUACAGAAAGUUCUCAAAUGCAUUAGCAGGAACAAUGAUUUCUUCCAUUGCUUGGAUAGGAUAUGAGUUCACUAUGACUGAUACAGAAAACUAUUGGCAGCCAACAGAUAAUUACUGGCAUGGUAGAUAGAUCACAUUUUGUCACCAUACAUAUAUAUGAUUUUUUGCCGUGGUACAUAGAUGUACUUUUGUCUUCAUACAAACAUCACCUUUUGUCGUGGUACAGAUUACAAUGGUAAUUUGUACCAUGCCAAAUGGUCAUUUCACAUGGUAGUAAAUGUAAUUUUUGUAUAUAGAGGGCUUUGAUUUUUGUAUGAUUCUAUAUUUUG
Molecule: non-coding RNA, 3192 nt
Organism: Camellia sinensis
Lineage: Eukaryota; Viridiplantae; Streptophyta; Magnoliopsida; Ericales; Theaceae
Source: RefSeq, a predicted model, not a curated record